Taeniopygia guttata (zebra finch) is the source of this 535-nucleotide non-coding RNA. The record is from RefSeq and is a predicted model, not a curated record. NCBI's taxonomy places the organism in Eukaryota, Metazoa, Chordata, Aves, Passeriformes, Estrildidae.
AACUUUAUAAAUCAAAUCAUUUGGCUUCAUGUAAGUCAACCACCACACCAACACACACUGCACACCUCCUCCAGAAGUCAUGGCCACGUAGGACUAGAAAUCAAAACCAGCCCACUUUUAAAAGUCCUGAAUUCCAGCUCUUGGUCCAACAGAGGCCUUUUCUUAAGUAAAAGCAAUAUAGGGUUUAAAGUAUAAUUCAGGAAAACUUUCAUAACAAGAACUGCAGCAAAAUAUGCAUUCACUACCAAGGACCUGACACCCUCCAGCUGAGAGCAGUGAUUAUUGAACACCAACCAUUAUUUUGAAAUACAAAAAGCUAUGAGGAAAGACAGGUGCUUCUAAAUCAGAUAAGUAACAAGAGCUGAAAAGCAAGCAAGAGAAGAAAUAACACCCUCCAUGGUACCUGCCAUCAAGAAAUAGCAGCUGAUGACCUACAACAGAACCAGAAACCAAAAACCAUCAUGAAGAAAGAUACCUUAUUUUUGUUUUUGCACACUUCAGUGGGCUUUAUCAUUAAAAAACUCAAUGAGUCAUA